CAAGAACGUCGAGGAAUCGAGUCGUUGGUCGUCGUCGUCGCCGCCGUCGCGUUGCAUACUUAUCCGCCACCAGUGGCACAUUGCCAAAAAUCGGCUGUUUGGUCCUUUUUCAGCGCGCGCAGAACAAACCGCAGUGGAUGCGAUGCAAUAGUUUAAAAAAAAAGUACGUUUCGGCCAACCAUCAUCAUCACUACUACUACUACCACCACCAUCAUCACCAUCAGUACUGCUACUAACCGACUACUAACCAGCUGCAUAGUAGAGCCAAUAGAAAACAGAACAAAAACGAAACAGAAAAAAAAAGCGCAGAAAAAAAAAGGUGACAAUUAAAAGCUCCUUCUUCUCCCCGCGAAAA
This is a long non-coding RNA of Anopheles nili, 355 nucleotides long. RefSeq lists it as uncharacterized. Lineage: Eukaryota; Metazoa; Arthropoda; Insecta; Diptera; Culicidae. The transcript has 2 exons. The record is from RefSeq and is a predicted model, not a curated record.